ACCAGCCUGCAGCCAGUCAGUUAUCCAUGCGACUUUGGUUACAUCGGACGGCUAUCGUGACAUUACUCUCUUGUUCUUAAAGCUGGUGACGCUGGCGUGGCGCGGGCGGUCGGCAACCAAUAACAAUGCGUUCACGCACCCAG
Maniola jurtina (meadow brown) is the source of this 143-nucleotide long non-coding RNA. RefSeq lists it as uncharacterized. The transcript is spliced from 2 exons. The record is from RefSeq and is a predicted model, not a curated record. NCBI's taxonomy places the organism in Eukaryota, Metazoa, Arthropoda, Insecta, Lepidoptera, Nymphalidae.